RNAcentral lists this ribosomal RNA (470 nucleotides) under uncultured bacterium. Its description in RNAcentral is "SSU rRNA". It matches the Rfam family "Bacterial small subunit ribosomal RNA", at positions 26 to 518 of the family's 1533-position model. The record is from RNAcentral.
AGAAUGAACGUUGGCGGCGUGGAUUAGGCAUGCAAGUCGAGCGCCCCGCAAGGGGAGCGGCGCAAGGGUGAGUAAGGCGACGGUAACCAACCCCACAAAUGGGCAUAGCCGAGGGAAACUUCGGGUAAUUCCCAGCGAAGUCGCGGAAGGGCAUCCUUCUGCGACCAAAGUUCCGACGUUGUGGGACGGGCCGUCGUGGUAUUAGCUUGUUGGCGGGGUGACGGCCCACCAAGGCUACGAUGCCUACCGGGCGUGCGAGCGUGGCCCGGCACACUGGGACUGAGACACUGCCCAGACUCUUACGGGAGGCUGCAGUCGAGAAUCUUCGGCAAUGGGCGCAAGCCUGACCGAGCGACGCCGCGUGGAGGACGAAGGCCUUCGGGUUGUAAACUCCUGGUCGAGGGGGAGAAGGCGUAAGCUUGACCGAUCCCGUGGAGGAAGCGACGGGCUAAGUUCGCGCCAGCAGCCGC